Molecule: ribosomal RNA, 245 nt
Filed under: uncultured bacterium
Lineage: Bacteria
Description: partial 16S ribosomal RNA
Rfam family: Bacterial small subunit ribosomal RNA
Source: RNAcentral
UACGUAGGGAGCUAGCGUUGUUCGGAAUCACUGGGCGUAAAGGGAGUGUAGGCGGACAUGUAAGUUAGGAGUGAAAUGUACCGGCUUAACCGGUGAGCUGCUUUUAAAACUGCAUGUCUUGAGUAUGGGAGAGGAAGAUGGAAUUCCAGGUGUAGUGGUAAAAUACGUAGAUAUCUGGAAGAACACCAGUUGCGAAGGCGGUCUUCUGGCCCAAUACUGACGCUGAGGCUCGAAAGCUAGGGGAG